RNAcentral lists this small nuclear RNA (315 nucleotides) under Castor canadensis (American beaver). RNAcentral's name for it is "7SK RNA (ENSCCNG00000010562.1)". It matches the Rfam family "7SK RNA". Rfam says of the family: 7SK was discovered as an abundant small nuclear RNA in the mid-70s but a possible function has only recently been suggested. Two independent studies have found that 7SK RNA binds the CDK9/cyclin T complex (known as elongation factor P-TEFb). Lineage: Eukaryota; Metazoa; Chordata; Mammalia; Rodentia; Castoridae. The record is from RNAcentral.
GGAUGUGAGGGCGAUCUGGCUGUAACAUCUGUCACCUCAUUGAUUGCCAGGGUUAAUUCGACUGAUCUGGCUGGCUAGGUGGGUGUCUCCUUCCUCCCUCACCACUCCAUGUGCGUCCCUCCCAAAGCUACAUGCUCGGUCGAAGAGGACAACCAUCCCUGAUAGAGGAGGACUGCUCUUUGGUCAAGCAUAUAUGAGUAGCUGCGCUCCCCUGCUAGAACCUCCAAACAAGCUCUCAAAUUAGCAUUACAUUAGAAGCAUAUGGGGUCAUUGCGAUAAUUCCAUAGAUAGGCCCAAUGUUCUUUGAACAAGUUC